This 447-nucleotide ribosomal RNA is filed under the name uncultured bacterium. RNAcentral's name for it is "partial 16S ribosomal RNA". It matches the Rfam family "Bacterial small subunit ribosomal RNA", at positions 29 to 523 of the family's 1533-position model. The record is from RNAcentral.
AACGAACGCUGGCGGCAGGCUUAACACAUGCAAGUCGAACGCACCGCAAGGGGAGUGGCAGACGGGUGAGUAACGCGUGGGAAUCUACCCAUCUCUGCGGAAUAGCUCCGGGAAACUGGAAUUAAUACCGCAUACGCCCUACGGGGGAAAGAUUUAUCGGGGAUGAAUGAGCCCGCGUUGGAUUAGCUAGUUGGUGGGGUAAAGGCCUACCAAGGCGACGAUCCAUAGCUGGUCUGCGAGGAUGAUCAGCCACAUUGGGACUGAGGCACGGCCCACACUCCUACGGGAGGCAGCAGUGGGGACUAUUGCACAAUGGGUGCAAGCCUGAUCCAGCCAUGCCGCGUGAGUGAUGAUGUCCUUAGGGUUGUAAAGCUCUUUCACCUGUCAAGAUAAUGACGGUAACCGGAGAAGAAGCCCCGGCUAACUUCGUGCCAGCCGCCGCCGUAA